RNAcentral lists this ribosomal RNA (245 nucleotides) under uncultured Lachnospiraceae bacterium. RNAcentral describes it as "partial 16S ribosomal RNA". It matches the Rfam family "Bacterial small subunit ribosomal RNA", at positions 524 to 768 of the family's 1533-position model. Lineage: Bacteria; Bacillati; Bacillota; Clostridia; Lachnospirales; Lachnospiraceae. The record is from RNAcentral.
UACGUAGGGGGCAAGCGUUAUCCGGAUUUACUGGGUGUAAAGGGAGUGUAGGUGGUCAUGCAAGUCUGAAGUGAAAUCCCGGGGCUCAACCCCGUGACUGCUUUGGAAACUGUGUGACUGGAGUGCAGGAGAGGUAAGCGGAAUUCCUAGUGUAGCGGUGAAAUGCGUAGAUAUUAGGAAGAACACCGGUGGCGAAGGCGGCUUACUGGACUGUAACUGACACUGAGGCUCGAAAGCGUGGGGAG